UCAAAGGUUUUUUUUAAAGAAAGCAAAAGAAGCAUUGUUUAUUUUUUUGAUUCAUUUUAUUUGAAGUUUCAGGUGCUGUUUGAAAAAUGAACUAAAGAAACUCCAACGUGGAGAGUCCAGCCAGAUUGAGGCAUUUUUUGUGAUAUAAUCCACAGUUUUGCAAUUAUUUCUAAUUAUAAAAUGAUUCAUAGAUUAAAGUUCAAUCCCAGCUAUUAUAAACUUAAUUUUGCAUUCACCUCAUUUUUAUUUGUAGUAGAACAUCUCACGCAUGACUCAUGACUAACGGUAUGCUGUUGUGUUAGGGCAUGAAAAAAUGCAGAACGCCCUCCAUUUGGGCAGGAUCGAUUUCCUCGUGCAGCUGCGAACGGCUUACCUCCGUGCAAUUAUAAUGAGCACGAUAAUAGCGGCUACCAGCCCCGGCCCCCUGGGGCAGCAGUGAGUGAGUGAGUGCGCAUAGCGCGUGCCGCGGCCUGUCAAGUUCAGGGUUCGAUUCUCCUAUCCUCUCACUCAAACCUCCAUUUCUCCGGCCCAAGAAUCCGGGUGAGUUCUCAUCCGCGUACAUCUCACCGCGGAAGUUCAACUUCUCCGCCGUCGCGCCGGCAGUUAUAUUAAUUAGUGCACUGCCGAUGUGUUGCGUCAUUGCUCCGUACAUCUGACGUAACAACGUAACUUCUCUUCAUUUGAGCCCUGGACAACAGGGAGGCUUACGGGAGAAAGGGUUUACCUCAAGGAAUGGUUAGGCUCUUGAGUCGAUGCGGAGCGUGGUUUCACGGCGCUGGUCACGCGAAAGAAAACCCCUCGUUUUAUUUUGCCUGCGUUUCCUCGAUACUGGUGACUGAGUUCUUAUAAAAAAAAAAGUUGCGUUCAGACAUGAAUUGAAAAGGCAGAAUAUAAAAUGGACAUUUUCCCGAUUUGGUCCAUCAUUAAUAACGUCAGGCUUUUUCGGGUUUUUUAACCCCACCCUCCACUAUGUCAGUCUCUCCUGUAUCCAGCCUCCAUUGAAAGGAUUUGUGGGUAUUCUUGGACAGCUUCUUUCCCUCUAAAUACCUGACAAGAUCCAUCGGAGAUAGCCAACACGUUGCCUAAUUUUCUGAUAGAUUUUAUGGAGAGAAACUUUGCCGUAAAAGUUAAUCGGAUUCAGCUAAGAUCCACCCAACUGAUUUCAAAAAUACUAAUCAGAUUGUAAGAGAUCAUUGAUUCAUUCUCUUAUCUCUCAAUCAAAAUUAUUAAUUUAAAAAUAACUUAUGAAAAAAAUUGCUUUUUCUUUUUCUGAGUAACUUGAUUGUAUAAAUGUAAAGUGCCCUGAAAAAUGUCAAUUAUAUUCAUCGUUGAACAUGCCCAUUGACUCAUGUGACAAUCAGGCCCACAUUGUUCCUGCAUACUCUGUUCAAGGAUACAAAUAGAAUUACGGUAUGAAUCAUUCUGCAUUACUAACUUUUUGUCAAGUUGAAUUUUGCUGAAAAUAAAAAUUGAGGUUUGACGUUUUACCUUGAUGGUUUUGCCUGAGGUACAGAGAAACAUUGAAAACGAGUAAGUUUUUCGAGUAAAUUUCUUUGUUUACAAACGUAAGUACAUUUUAAAAAUAAAUAGGUAACCAAGUGUAACAUUAUCUCAAAAGAAACAGUCCUGCUACGCUAUGGCAUUCGGCUGAAUAGAGAUGAAUGUAAAGACUAAUGCAAAAUUUAAAAAAAAACUAAGAUCGAAUAUAAUAUUUACACAAUAACUACAUGUUUACUUAAACUUACUUACAUAACUAAUAAUAGAUUACGAUUACAGAUGUAUCUACAAAAAUUAACAUUCAGUAAUAUUUACAUUUUAAUUUUCACGAAAUUUAUCUCGUUAAGUAGACGAUGAAUUUCAAUUCGAAAUAAAAAAUAGAAAAAUAAUAAAAUUAUAAUGUCUACAGUGUUCUAAAAAUACUUUCAAAGUGCUUCAGAAAAUUAUAUAUAUAAUAUAUAGGAUACACCCCUAUGAGAUUCUGAAAAAUUGCCAAAAUUUGUGUACGGUUUUUUUAUGAAUUCUAAUGAAUUGAAAAGUUUUUGAAAACGGUAAUGUAUAAAAUGAGCCGAAGAGCACCUGUCACAGUAAAAUGACGGAAAGCUAAGGACUCACAAACAUUCUGUAAAAUUGUAGAAAGGGAAGAACAUACGAAUUAAGUUCACCCCAACCGCUCAACUAUCUUGUGACCUUGUUAACAGUGAUGAUAAGUACCUCUUGGUUAAUUGAAAUCUUCUGAUAAAAAAAAAAACUUUUAGGGAUGCACAAUUUAAAAUUUGUUUCUAUCUCCAUCCUUUUUUAACUUCAAUAUUUUCAUUUUUUGUUUUUUUGCUUUAUUUUGUGAAGAGAGAAACUGAGAAAAAACAGUUCGG
RNAcentral lists this long non-coding RNA (2369 nucleotides) under Bemisia tabaci. Its description in RNAcentral is "lncRNA ENSSSA2NGG012803". The record is from RNAcentral. Lineage: Eukaryota; Metazoa; Arthropoda; Insecta; Hemiptera; Aleyrodidae.